RNAcentral lists this unclassified non-coding RNA (402 nucleotides) under Paspalum equitans. Its description in RNAcentral is "partial external transcribed spacer". Lineage: Eukaryota; Viridiplantae; Streptophyta; Magnoliopsida; Poales; Poaceae. The record is from RNAcentral.
CGAGCGCAUGAGUGGUUUUGGACCUGUGACUACCGGGAGAUCCCCCGCUGUUGUGCGGCCGACUGUCGGUGCCAGUGUCCCUUCAAUCGUUGGCUAUUGUGUGCCUAUCGUUUGGACAAGUGCUUGCGUGCUGCUACCGGUAACACUGGAAGUUGCAUUGCUAAAUGUUGGUUUUGUCGUGCAUGCCCUUAGGGCAUGUCACGUCAACGAAAAAGCGUUCAUGGCGUUGCCUCGUGUCGCUGGCCGCAUUGGCUAGCGGCAUCAAGGCAACCUCAUGGUCGCUAUUGGUCUCGGAUGUGGCUAACUCGAAAGGCUGAAGGUGUUUUGACACCUCAUGCCUACAAGUCCGAUUGGAAACAACGACAGUUGGCCUGGCUGACGCCUCGUGCGGAAGCUAGUGCU